RNAcentral lists this ribosomal RNA (151 nucleotides) under Neolentinus lepideus. RNAcentral's name for it is "5.8S ribosomal RNA". It matches the Rfam family "5.8S ribosomal RNA". Rfam says of the family: 5.8S ribosomal RNA (5.8S rRNA) is a component of the large subunit of the eukaryotic ribosome. It is transcribed by RNA polymerase I as part of the 45S precursor that also contains 18S and 28S rRNA. Functionally, it is thought that 5.8S rRNA may be involved in ribosome translocation. Lineage: Eukaryota; Fungi; Basidiomycota; Agaricomycetes; Gloeophyllales; Gloeophyllaceae. The record is from RNAcentral. RNAcentral also lists the same sequence under 1 other name.
UUUCAACAACGGAUCUCUUGGCUCUCGCAUCGAUGAAGAACGCAGCGAAAUGCGAUAAGUAAUGUGAAUUGCAGAAUUCAGUGAAUCAUCGAAUCUUUGAACGCACCUUGCGCUCCUUGGUAUUCCGAGGAGCAUGCCUGUUUGAGUGUCA